AAAAUCUUGAUAAUAGAUGUGAAAUGACCCUGGAAAACAAAACAAGGAUGUUUAUUAAUUUACAGUGGGAAGUAUACCUGCCAACUUGGAUGGCUAUUCCUGUUAGCCUGACCAAGUCAUCCUCUUCCCAAAGAGAGGCCACACAGGAAGCCGAGGUACCACUAGACUACUUGGGGAGCACUGAGUUGGGGCAGGAAAAAGAUACAAAGAAGUUCAGAAGAGGGAGAGGUCACUUCUGGCUGUGCAAUCAGCAAAGACUUCAUGAGGUACUCCAUUUUACAACAGGUCUCUGGAACAUAUUCAUCUUGUAACAGCUCUAACUAUGUGAAAGUAAAAGUGGUACUUGCUCAGUUGUGUCUGACUGUUUGUGGACUGUAGCCCACUAGGCUCCUUUGUCCAUGGAAUUCUUCAGGCAAGAAUAUU
Cervus elaphus (red deer) is the source of this 423-nucleotide long non-coding RNA. RefSeq lists it as uncharacterized. Lineage: Eukaryota; Metazoa; Chordata; Mammalia; Artiodactyla; Cervidae. The transcript is spliced from 3 exons. The record is from RefSeq and is a predicted model, not a curated record.